AGUGAACGCUGGCGGUAGACCUAACACAUGCAAGUCGAACGGCAGCACAGUAAGAGCUUGCUCUUACGGGUGGCGAGUGGCGGACGGGUGAGGAAUACAUCGGAAUCUACUUUUUCGUGGGGGAUAACGUAGGGAAACUUACGCUAAUACCGCAUACGACCUACGGGUGAAAGCGGGGGAUCUUCGGACCUUGCGCGAUUGAAUGAGCCGAUGUCGGAUUAGCUAGUUGGCGGGGUAAAGGCCCACCAAGGCGACGAUCCGUAGCUGGUCUGAGAGGAUGAUCAGCCACACUGGAACUGAGACACGGUCCAGACUCCUACGGGAGGCAGCAGUGGGGAAUAUUGGACAAUGGGCGCAAGCCUGAUCCAGCCAUACCGCGUGGGUGAAGAAGGCCUUCGGGUUGUAAAGCCCUUUUGUUGGGAAAGAAAAGCAGCAGGUUAAUACCCCGCUGUUCUGACGGUACCCAAAGAAUAAGCACCGGCUAACUUCGUG
This 492-nucleotide ribosomal RNA is filed under the name uncultured bacterium. RNAcentral describes it as "partial 16S ribosomal RNA". It matches the Rfam family "Bacterial small subunit ribosomal RNA", at positions 29 to 507 of the family's 1533-position model. The record is from RNAcentral.